UACGAAGGGGGCUAGCGUUGCUCGGAAUCACUGGGCGUAAAGCGUGCGGAGGCGGUUCGCUGUGUCCGAUGUGAAAGCCCCGGGCUUAACCUGGGAGUGGCAUUGGAAACUGGCGGGCUUGAGUGUGGCAGAGGGGGGUGGAAUUCCGCGUGUAGCAGUGAAAUGCGUAGAGAUGCGGAGGAACACCGAUGGCGAAGGCAGCCCCCUGGGCUAACACUGACGCUCAGGCACGAAAGCGUGGGGAGCAAACAGG
RNAcentral lists this ribosomal RNA (253 nucleotides) under uncultured bacterium. RNAcentral describes it as "partial 16S ribosomal RNA". It matches the Rfam family "Bacterial small subunit ribosomal RNA", at positions 524 to 776 of the family's 1533-position model. The record is from RNAcentral.